RNAcentral lists this unclassified non-coding RNA (216 nucleotides) under soil metagenome. RNAcentral's name for it is "partial contains 5.8S ribosomal RNA, internal transcribed spacer 2, and large subunit ribosomal RNA". The record is from RNAcentral.
AACCUUAUGGACCUGCGGGCGUAUACCUGCGGAGGGAUCAUUACCGAGUGAGGGCCACCCCCUGGGUGGCCCGACCUCCCACCCCAUGUUAUCCGACCCUGUUGCCUCGGGGGCGACCCGGCCUUCGGGCGUCGGGGCCCCCGGUGGACCACACAACCCUGCAUCGUGGCGUCCGAGUGAGAUAUUGAAUCAAUCAAAACUUUUAACAACGGAUCU